Molecule: non-coding RNA, 109 nt
Organism: Podospora aff. communis PSN243
Lineage: Eukaryota; Fungi; Ascomycota; Sordariomycetes; Sordariales; Podosporaceae
Source: the annotation of a GenBank genome assembly
GGGCGGGUAGCGUAGUGGUCAGCGCGUUUACUAAACCCGCCUGAGCGUUGAUUUGUCAGGCUGAGCGUUGUUUAGCGAGAAGGCCUGGGUUCGAAUCCCAGCCCGCCCA